AUCAGAAGAGGAGAAGAAGAGCAGUAGCUGCACAUCAUCCAGAGAAGGAAAUGCAUUACCGUUGGAAGAAGAUGAUCAGAGUGACCAGUUUGCAACAGAGUGAAAGUUCAAUGAUCAUAAGUGCAAGCUGGACACUUUCCGUUUAAUGAAGCUGUGUCGUUUUACUUAAGACGUUAUGUAAUAAUUGGACCACGUGGCCAUCUUCGUUUAUUACCGUUUUAGUUUGUUACUACAGUAAAAGGUGAAAAUGCUGUAACGAUAAGAGCAAAGGAAAUGAGAAAUGAAGGAUAAGUUUUCAGCAUCCAUCUUCUUCUUCCUUCACUCUCUCUCGUUUCUCUCCAUCGACCUCUCUCACCCAUUUCUCACAUGGUAUCAAAGCGCACCUGAUGGUGGUCACUUCAGGGAACGCAACUCCGAUCAUCUUUGGAUCGGUACAGGAUGAAGAAGAUGACGAUGACAUCAACAACACAAAUCAUCAACUCCGUCGCAAUCAUGGCGGAAACUCCAACAAUCCACCUCCGUCUCUCAGUUUUGGUAACCCAUUCUAUCUCAAUCCGAACGAAAACUUAGCCCAAUCCAUCGUUAAUGUUAACCUGGACGGUGGUAACUAUCAACUCUGGAGCAGAUCCAUUAAAUUUGCACUUAAGACUAAACACAAAAUCGGAUUCAUUGAUGGUUCUAUCCAUCCACCAGAGUAUUCUGAUGACAAAUAUACUCUCUGGGAUGCAUGUAACACCAUGGUACUAUGCUGGAUUAUGAAUUCACUGCAUCCAGAAAUAAGGAGAAGCGUUAUGAACCAUGAAAAUGCUCAAGUGUUGUGGAAUGAGCUCAAAGCUCGAUUUGGACAAGCUAAUGCUUUGAGAUUAGCUAACUUGCAGGAUGAGAUUCAUGCUUGCAAGCAGGGCCAGAUGAAUGUCACUCAAUACUACACCACAAUUAAGGGACUAUGGGAAGAGUAUGGACAGUUCUCCCCAAUCGUUGCUUGCACAUGCUUACCUGGGAAUCCAAAUAUCUGCCCUGCUGUGCUAGCAUUCCAGACUAAGCAGGAUACUGAUUACUUGAUCAGGUUCCUGAGAGGCUUGAACAACGAAUAUGAUACAGUGAAAACUCAACUGCUGAUGAUGAGACCUCUUCCAACAAUCACAUCUGCAUAUGACAGUGCCCUACAACAUGAAGAGAAAUUGAGAGGAGGAGCAGUCAUUGCCAAUGAUGUGACUCAAUCCAGUGUGUUUGCUGUUAGCCAAAACUAUAAUGCUGACCAAGCUAAACAAGCUAUGGCUGUCACUGGGGAUAGGAGGCUAUUCUGCAAGUACUGCAGGAAGGACAAUCAUGUGGUUGAGGACUGCCUUAAGCUCAAAAACAAGAAAAAAAGGGAGCAGGAGCAGAAGACUGGAAGUUACUCAGGGAAUCAAAAUGCUGGUAGAUUUGCAGGCAUGGUUACUCAAGAAACUGAGUCCAGCAGUUCUGAUUCAACUACUUCCACAAUUCAUCAUGCUCCUUUCACAUCUGAAGAGCUUCACCAGCUCAGGAGUUUGUUGCAACAAGCGUCAAACCCUCAACACAAGGCAUUGGCAGUGAGCCAUGUACCUCCUCAGACUCCUCAUCAUCAUCCAGGUAUGUAUACUCUAGCUGCUAGUACUGAUUAUGACUUGCUAACUACCUGGAUCAUUGAUACUGGUGCAUCAGAUCACAUCUGUUGCAAUCUUAGGUAUUUCUUUAACUAUAAAGCUGUCGUUGGUGUCUAUGUGUUUCUCCCCAACUCCACAAAAGCCCCUGUCAGUCACAUUGGAUCAGUUACACUUCCUUUCGGACUGAUCCUUCAUGAUGUCCUGCUGGUUCCUAGUUUUGGAUUCAAUUUGGUUUCAGUCAGCAAAUUAACUCAUGACUCCUCUGUGUCAUUGCUGUUUCAAUCCCAAAAAUGUUUGAUCCAGGACCGUAUCACCAGCAGGACGAUUGGUAUAGCAACAACUGUUAAGGGUCUAUACCAACUGCCAGCUCAGGAUUUCAAUCAAGUUUCUAAAAGUGUUCCUCCUCGUGUCCUUGCUGUCAGCUACAAUUUCAAACCUCAAGCCAUUAAUCUCUGGCAUUGGAGGCUAGGCCACCCUAGUGAGGAUAGGAUUCAUUCUUUAAAAACAUGUAAUCCUCAAAUUGUUGCUGAACACAUAGCCCAUUGUGAAGUUUGCCACUUUGCCAAACAGAAACGCUUAUCCUUUCCAAUCAGUGAAACAGUUGCCUCUAAGGCUUUUGAUUUAAUUCAUAUGGACAUCUAGGGGCCUCUAUUAGUCGAGUCCUAUGAUCAUUUUUCCUUCUUUCUUACUGUGGUUGAUGAUUACUCACGAGGAACCUGAGUCUACCUAAUGAAACACAAAUCUGAAGUUCGCUCCCUCAUUGAAUCAUUUUGCAAAAUGGUUAACACUCAAUUUGAAACAAGUGUUAAAUCCAUUAGGAGUGAUCAAGGUAGGGAGUUUGCCAUGACAAAUUACUUCUUAGAACAUGGCAUAAUACAUCAAACCUCUUGUGUAGAGACCCCACAGCAGAAUGCUCGAGUUGAACGCAAACAUCAGCAUAUACUGAAUGUUGCUCGAGCUCUGCGUUUCCAAGCUGGGUUACCCCUCCAGUACUGGAGUGCCUGUGUCCUUCAUGCAGUGCAUCUAAUCAACAGAAUGCCUACCCCUAUCCUGAACAACUUAUUUCCGUUUGAGAAACUUUAUAACGUACCUCCUGCCAUAACUCACAUUCGAGUUUUUGGGUGUCUUUGCUAUGCUUCUACCUUAGCUAGCCACAGAACCAAGUUCCAACCUAGAGCUCGUCAGUGUAUCCUUCUAGGCAUUCCAGCUACUGUCAAAGGGUAUAAAGUCAUGGAUUUAAACAAUGGUCAGGUCUUUCUGUCCAGAGACGUUGUGUUUCAUGAAACCAUCUUUCCCUUCAAGGGUGUGUCAGGUUUAGCCUUACCAAACUUAAAUAAUUAUCCUCCUGAGUUCAUCCCAGAUUCUGAACUCAGGCUGCCUCAUGCAGAAUCGAGUCAGUCUGUCAAUCUAUCAAGCCCUCCUAAUCAUGAUCCAUAUGUUGGUGGUCCUAAUCUUUCGCCUGCAUCUAUGAAUAUACAAACUGAUGAUGUUGAUGUGGUGGUCUCCUCUCCCUCUGAGGGUGGUGAUGACUUGGAACACACAUCUGCGGAUGUUCCUCCAGUAGUCACUCGCCAGUCCUCGAGGGUUAGACGCCCUCCUACUUACCUGAUGGACUAUCACCUUGAUCUAACCGCUGCAAAGCAUGCUCUAGCUGCUGUUGUUUGCUAUGAUUAUCUUUCAGAUGGCCACAGGAAGUUUGCCUUGAGCGUUGUGACUCUCCAGGAACCUAAGACCUACAGGGAGGCUGCUCUUCAGGCAUGCUGGAUUAAGGCAAUGGAGGAGGAGUUAUCUGCUUUGGUUUCCAACCAUACGUGGACAGUUGUUCCCAUUCCACCAGGGAAACAUCCAGUUGGCUGCAAAUGGGUGUAUAAAAUCAAACUGCAUGCUGAUGGCAGUAUUGAACGUCACAAAGCACGCCUAGUUGCUAAAGGAUUCACUCAGGUUUAUGGGGUGGAUUUCCUGGACACCUUUUCUCCUGUUGCCAAGAUCAAUUCUGUCAAAUGUCUGCUAGCAGUUGCUGCUGCUAGGAAUUGGCAUCUCCAACAGAUGGAUGUUUCCAAUGCUUUCCUCAAUGGUGAGCUUGAGGAGGAGGUUUAUAUGCAAGCUCCACCUGGUUUUGACGUUCCACCAGGUCACUGUUGCAAGCUCCAACGAUCCUUGUAUGGUCUUAAACAGGCCAGUCGUCAAUGGUUUGCUAAAUUGACUGAAUCACUCAUACACAAUGGGUUUAGACAAUCUGGAGCUGACUACUCCCUCUUCCUGAAGGGUACUGGAAAUAACAUGGUCGUUUUACUGGUCUAUGUCGAUGACAUCAUCUUGGCAGGAAGUAAUCACUCAGAGAUUGAUCUUGUCAAGGCCUACUUAUAAAAGAUGUUCGAGAUACGAGACCUAGGGCCUUUGAAGUAUUUCCUUGGUCUUGAGAUUGCUAGAUCAAACACUGGAAUCUCAAUAUCACAAAGGAAAUACUGUAUUGACCUGCUCACAGAUACUGGCUUUGCUGAGUUCAAAGGAGCAAAGUCACCAAUGGAUCCAUUGUUACAUCUGACAGCAGAACAAGGAGAGCUGUUGGAGGAAUCAAGCAGUUACAGACAGCUAAUUGGUAGGUUGCACUACCUAACAAUCACCAGGCCUGACAUUGCCUUUGCAGUGCAACAACUGAGCCAAUUUCAAGCCUCACCACGCACUGGCCAUAUGCAGGCAGCACACAGAGUUCUUAGAUAUCUAAAGUUGGCUCCAGGUCAGGGACUUUUCUACAAGUCUGGAGUCUCCCUCGAAAUGAAGGGAUUCUGUGACUCAGAUUGGGCCUCCUGCCCUGAGACCAGGCGAUCUACUACGGGAUAUUGUACAUAUCUUGGAGAAAGUCUAAUUUCAUGGAAGUCUAAGAAACAAUGCACAGUGUCACGCUCAUCAUCUGAGGCUGAGUAUAGGGCCCUGGCACAUUUGGUUUGCGAAUUGCAGUGGAUUACUGGUCUACUAGGUGAACUUGGGGUCCAGGUGAACACUCCUAUAUCUGUGUAUUGUGAUAACAAGUCUGCAAUACAUAUUGCAGAGAAUCCAGUCUUCCAUGAGCGAACCAAGCACAUUGAAAUCGACUGUCAUGUGACCAGAGAACGAAUCAAGUCUGGGCUGGUCAAGCUACUACACGUCAACACAGAAGACCAAGUGGCAGACAUUUUCACAAAACCUCUUCACCGUCGUCGUGUGCACUAUCUCCUUGACAAGUUGGGAAUACUUGACAUAUAUUCGCCAACUUGUGGGAGGCUAUCAGAAGAGGAGACGAAGAGCAGUACGUGUACAUCAUCCAGAGAAGGAAAUGCAUUACCGUUGGAAGAAGAUGAUCAGAGUGACCAGUUUGCAACAGAGUGAAAGUUCAAUGAUCAUAAGUGCAAGCUGGACACUUUCCGUUUAGUGAAGCUGUGUCGUUUUACUUAAGACGUUAUGUAAUAAUUGAACCACUUUGCCAUCUUCGUUUAUUACCGUUUUAGUUUGUUACUACAGUAAAAUGUGAAAAUGCUGUAACGAUAAGAGCAGAGGAAAUGAGAAAUGAAGGAUAAGUUUUCAGCAUCCUCUUCUUCUUCCUUCACUCUCUCUCGUUUCUCUCCAUCGACCUCUCUCACCCAUUUCUCACAUUUUGCAAAUUUGCAUCUC
Molecule: long non-coding RNA, 5276 nt
Filed under: Linum usitatissimum (flax)
Lineage: Eukaryota; Viridiplantae; Streptophyta; Magnoliopsida; Malpighiales; Linaceae
Description: long non-coding RNA (LUSI_LNC002978)
Source: RNAcentral